AUACACAUAAAAAAAU
This 16-nucleotide small RNA is filed under the name Arabidopsis thaliana (thale cress). RNAcentral's name for it is "ATSL232370". The record is from RNAcentral. Lineage: Eukaryota; Viridiplantae; Streptophyta; Magnoliopsida; Brassicales; Brassicaceae.